Molecule: ribosomal RNA, 167 nt
Filed under: Pleosporales sp.
Lineage: Eukaryota; Fungi; Ascomycota; Dothideomycetes; Pleosporales
Description: partial large subunit ribosomal RNA
Rfam family: Eukaryotic large subunit ribosomal RNA
Source: RNAcentral
CGGGAAGAGCUCAAAUUUAAAAUCUGGCAGCCUUGUGUUGUCCGAGUUGUAAUUUGCAGAGGGAGCUUUCGAGUUGGCAGCGGUCUAAGUUCCUUGGAACAGGACGUCACAGAGGGUGAGAAUCCCGUACGUGGUCGCAGGCCUUCUCGAGGUAAAGCCCCUUCGAC